UGCUGGGGGAUCCGGCCGCUAGACCUCUUCACUCGUAAUGAAGGGGUCAGCGGUUCGAAUCCGCUCGUCGGCUUCCA
This 77-nucleotide transfer RNA is filed under the name Actinomycetota bacterium. RNAcentral describes it as "Actinobacteria bacterium (freshwater metagenome) tRNA-Thr". The record is from RNAcentral. Lineage: Bacteria; Bacillati; Actinomycetota.